UGCUACAGAAAUUGUAUGUGCAUAUCUUGUGUUUAUUUAUUGAUACUUAUGCGUAUAUUCUCUCAUGAGCCAUAGACUUCAAUUACAUUUCCUUUUUCUGAAACUGAAAUUACGGAAUUUAUCUUAUUUUUGUAACUGGGUAAUUAUGGGUGUUUUAUGACAAGGAAGCUGAUGAAAACCAUUUUACCAAGUUAGGAAUAUAAUUUUCUUUUUAGUGCAAGUGGUUUGAUUUUUAGAAAUGGUUAAAUAUGCGAACUGCUUUGGCACUGAUAUGCAUCUAUGGUUAGUUUGUUUCUUGUUAUAAAAGAAGUGAAUCAUGUACCAUUAGAGCAUUUGAUAACCUGUUUUGCUUGAUGCAUUUCAUAAUGACUUUAUUGCAAAGUAGGCUCUUACAGUUGCAACAUAAAGGGCUUGCAUGUUUCACCAACUUUAUGUUACAGAAACUUUUCAUUUGUGUUUCGACUGAUAUAAUUUGAGUGCUCUUCUAUUAUCUUUUUGAGUGCUCUUCUAUUAUGGUCAGUACCUAUUUGUUAUAUUCAUGGGCUAUCCUAAUUCUGAAUAUGAUGCUCUGGAUAAAUGGGAUCCAGAACUUAAUGAGUUUGUUCAGAUUGUUUUGGAUAGACUUUAAAUAAACAGAGUAAGCCUAGGGAACUUCUAAGAAAGAUUGCCUAAUCAUUUGUAAUUUUGUUUGCAGUGAUCAAAACUUAGGAAGUACCCAUGUUGUUUCGCAUAUAAUUUUUCAUUGCUGCACAUCUAAUACUAGUGCACUGCUUCUUCUUCUUUUACAGUUUUGCAUCGGCACUAUAAAGGAU
Molecule: unclassified non-coding RNA, 812 nt
Filed under: Hevea brasiliensis (rubber tree)
Lineage: Eukaryota; Viridiplantae; Streptophyta; Magnoliopsida; Malpighiales; Euphorbiaceae
Source: RNAcentral